Molecule: long non-coding RNA, 419 nt
Organism: Solanum stenotomum
Lineage: Eukaryota; Viridiplantae; Streptophyta; Magnoliopsida; Solanales; Solanaceae
Exons: 2
Source: RefSeq, a predicted model, not a curated record
ACCUCAUGGACGCAAUCCAACCCUGGACGUAGGUUCCUUUGUUGCAAAACUUCAAAGGCACGAGGUGGAUGUGGAUAUUUUCGAUGGUGUGAUGAUGAAAUGUCGGCUCAAGCUAGGAGGGUGAUAUGGGGUUUGUUGAAAAGAGUCAAAACAUAUGAAUUGGAGAGGAAUCGAUCAAGAAAAGUAUGGAUGAUAUGCAUUGUCGUAGGGGUGAUAUUGGCUACUUGGAUUUAUGUAACAAAAUGAUCUUAGUUGGUUCAUUUGUCUUCUACUAGAUUCCUUCAUAAAAGUAUGUAUGAUAGAUUGUAGUGUUCUCUAUGAGGGCAAUUUUGAUCGGCUUUUCUAUUGUAAAUGCCUUCAAUUGUGUUCUUAUUGUAAUGAUUUUGAUUGAAGGAAUGAAGACAAACUGUGUGUUAGUC